GUCACUUGAGGUGACAGCAAGCUUUAGCUCAUCUAUAACUGAUUCCUAACGUCAACCAGCGGAAAUUCCGCUAAUACUAUCAUGGGGACGCUACGGAUUCGACAGGGAUAGGUCGAGCUUAAGUUGCGAGUCGAGGGGAUCGGCCUCGUAAAAAACGUCAAAGCCAAUAACUGGCAACCAAAAAUUAGCUUUAGCUGCCUAAUAUAGCGCAGCUGUUCGCCCCUCCAUCGCCCAUGUGGUAGGGUAGCGGACUCAAACUUAGUGGGCUACGCCGGAUUCCGCCGCCUGAGGAUGAAGGAAGAGAACAAUCAGGCUAGCUGCCCGGACGCCUGUCGGUAGGCAUAAGGGACAGCGAAGCGCAAAUAUACCGACUACACUCGUAGAAGCUUAAGUGCCGAUAUCUCUGGACGUGGGUUCG
This 418-nucleotide transfer-messenger RNA is filed under the name Bacillus methanolicus MGA3. The stretch from base 84 to 418 matches the Rfam family "transfer-messenger RNA". Rfam says of the family: Bacterial tmRNA, also known as 10Sa RNA or SsrA, is named for its dual tRNA and mRNA-like properties. Its role is to liberate the mRNA from a stalled ribosome. To accomplish this part of the tmRNA is used as a reading frame that ends in a translation stop signal. The record is from RNAcentral. Lineage: Bacteria; Bacillati; Bacillota; Bacilli; Caryophanales; Bacillaceae.